This is a non-coding RNA of Mus musculus (house mouse), 137 nucleotides long. The record is from Rfam. NCBI's taxonomy places the organism in Eukaryota, Metazoa, Chordata, Mammalia, Rodentia, Muridae.
CUCCCCCACAAUGGGCAAAAGGACAUCUUGGUGUUGGGAUUGCUCUUAUAUCAGUCAGGGACAGAGCAGGUCCUUUGUUCACCCAAGCUUGAUGCCUGACUUGGUGGCCAAAGCUGUUUUAUGCCUAGGACACACAC